GAGAUCGGGAUAACACCUGGAAACAGAUGCUAAUACCGGAUGACAACAGAUGAUGCCUAUCAACUGUUUAAAAGAUGGUUCUGCUAUCACUCUUGGAUGGACCUGCGGUGCAUUAGCUAGUUGGUAGGGUAACGGCCUACCAAGGCGAUGAUGCAUAGCCGAGUUGAGAGACUGAUCGGCCACAUUGGGACUGAGACACGGCCCAAACUCCUACGGGAGGCAGCAGCU
RNAcentral lists this ribosomal RNA (228 nucleotides) under uncultured Lactobacillus sp. RNAcentral describes it as "partial 16S ribosomal RNA". It matches the Rfam family "Bacterial small subunit ribosomal RNA", at positions 134 to 355 of the family's 1533-position model. The record is from RNAcentral. Lineage: Bacteria; Bacillati; Bacillota; Bacilli; Lactobacillales; Lactobacillaceae.